AUGGAAAGUAUAACGGCAUACAAAAACCAACGUGGACAACCCAGAUCUGGAACUCCAGAACAAUCUGACACUCCAGUGUCUGCUAAUGACAUGUGUUCCCUUGCUGAAUGGCCAUCCCAUGCUCAUUGCAACCGUGCGCUACUACAGGAUGUAGGAAUGAACUAUCGUUCGUUCAAGGAUGACAUGGUAGUCAUAAUGAAAAGAAAGUUACCACUCAUUGGAGUGAGGACGUGGUCGGACAUUCACCCUACCAUUCAUCGACUCAUUGUUGCAGAUAUGAUACUGCAUGGGACUUGGAAGAUACACCAGAAACAGAAGAAAAAGUUCUCAAAAUUGCGAAAGAGCUAUAUAGAGGCUGGCGAUCAACUCUAA
Molecule: ribosomal RNA, 372 nt
Filed under: Triticum aestivum (bread wheat)
Lineage: Eukaryota; Viridiplantae; Streptophyta; Magnoliopsida; Poales; Poaceae
Description: partial small subunit ribosomal RNA
Source: RNAcentral